This 29-nucleotide non-coding RNA is filed under the name Mus musculus (house mouse). Lineage: Eukaryota; Metazoa; Chordata; Mammalia; Rodentia; Muridae. The record is from RNAcentral.
UAGCUCCAAAAGCUCUUCUAUUUGUGGUC